This is a long non-coding RNA of Nannospalax galili (Upper Galilee mountains blind mole rat), 498 nucleotides long. RefSeq lists it as uncharacterized. The record is from RefSeq and is a predicted model, not a curated record. NCBI's taxonomy places the organism in Eukaryota, Metazoa, Chordata, Mammalia, Rodentia, Spalacidae. The transcript has 4 exons.
CGCAUGAAAGGCGUCCCCUCCCCCGCAGGGCAGAAGGACUCUCUGUUUCCAGCCUAAGCUCACUACCACUGUUUUCCUGAGAAUGAGGAGGAGGAGGAGGAAAAGCAGGAGUAUGUGACUCUGCUGGUUCAUCUUGGUUGUCAACUUGACUGGAUCUGGAAUUAACUAAAAGAGAAGCUUCUGGGCACACCUGUGAAAGAUUUUCUGGAUCAGGUUAUUUGAAGAAAGAAGACCCUCCAUAAAGUCCUUUACUAUGUGAGAAACAGUAUUCGAGGUACUAUGUUAGAAACCUUUCCUGGACCCUGAACAACACGAAACCCAUCUGCACACCGAGCUGGGGCUUCACUGCUUUCAGAACUGUACAAACCAAGUCUGACUCUGCUUAGCUUCCAGCAACUGUGAAGGACAUUGGCAUUAUAAUACAGCAUUCCGGGACCACAUGAAAUGUUGCCUGUACAUAAGCACUGUGAAUCUACAACAGCCUAAGAGAUCUACUAG